Molecule: ribosomal RNA, 467 nt
Filed under: uncultured bacterium
Lineage: Bacteria
Description: partial 16S ribosomal RNA
Rfam family: Bacterial small subunit ribosomal RNA
Source: RNAcentral
GACGAACGCUGGCGGCGUGCUUAACACAUGCAAGUCGAACGGAAAGGCCCUGCUUUUGUGGGGUGCUCGAGUGGCGAACGGGUGAGUAACACGUGAGUAACAUGCCCUUGACUUUGGGAUAACUUCAGGAAACUGGGGCUAAUACCGGAUAGGAGCUCCUGCUGCAUGGUGGGGGUUGGAAAGUUUCGGCGGUUGGGGAUGGACUCGCGGCUUAUCAGCUUGUUGGUGGGGUAGUGGCUUACCAAGGCUUUGACGGGUAGCCGGCCUGAGAGGGUGACCGGCCACAUUGGGACUGAGAUACGGCCCAGACUCCUACGGGAGGCAGCAGUGGGGAAUAUUGCACAAUGGGCGGAAGCCUGAUGCAACAACGCCGCGUGCGGGAUGACGGCCUUCGGGUUGUAAACCGCUUUCGCCUGUGACGAAGCGUGAGUGACGGUAAUGGGUAAAGAAGCACCGGCUAACUACGU